CUCAGUAGCCAUAUCACCCUGGAGCCCAAAACCAGUUUCCCACUGAAGCUAAGCAGGGCUGAGCCUGGUCAGUACCUGGAUGGGAGACCUCCUGGGAAAACUAGGUUGCUGCUGGAA
Molecule: ribosomal RNA, 117 nt
Filed under: Carassius auratus (goldfish)
Lineage: Eukaryota; Metazoa; Chordata; Actinopteri; Cypriniformes; Cyprinidae
Source: RNAcentral